GGGCGAAUGGCGGAACUGGCAGACGCAUACGCCUUAGGAGCGUACGGGGCAACCCAUAAGAGUUCGACUCUCUUUUCGCCCACCA
RNAcentral lists this transfer RNA (85 nucleotides) under Candidatus Pelagibacteraceae bacterium. Its description in RNAcentral is "tRNA-Leu". It matches the Rfam family "tRNA". Rfam says of the family: Transfer RNA (tRNA) molecules are approximately 80 nucleotides in length. Lineage: Bacteria; Pseudomonadati; Pseudomonadota; Alphaproteobacteria; Candidatus Pelagibacterales; Candidatus Pelagibacteraceae. The record is from RNAcentral.